AUGGGCAGCGCAUGCGGGCGGGCGCAGCCACGGCCGUGCCCAGCACCAGAAAUCGCAGCGCUCCGGCUCAGAGGCUCCACCAAAGGCAAUAAUCCUGGCCAGGUUUGCGAAUUCCCCCUGAACAACCCCAAAUUUCCCCACCAAGGGGCAGCACCCCCCAGAUCUCCAGCACGGCACGUGCCAGGCGACACGAAGCGGCGUUUCGGCGAACGGCGACGGGCCGGGUGGGCAGAACCCAAACUGCCCCGAUUUUCCCCCGUUUGGGCUGGCACCGAGCGGCAUCCAGCUUACAGUGGGGCGCACUGGCAGCCCCCUACCCCUCUCCCCGUGCCCCCCAUCCCUUGGCAGGGCGGCUGCCCCCUCUCCGCAGCCGCCUUGCGCUCUUUUCCUGCGCGUCCCCCCUGGAGGGUUUUUUCCAUGACACGAGGCAGAGCGAGCGCGGAGCUGCCUCGCGCGCCCGGCUCCCCCGCCUGCAACCUCUGGCACGGCUUUUCCAGCGGCACAUUGUGCAAAUGUAACCUUUCAGCAAGCCGCUCCUACGGCAGGAAGCCGUGGGGCCGCGGCUGCUGCCAGGAACGCAGCCGGCGCGGAGCUGGAAGGCAGCCCGUUAAUCAGAGCCGGCUGACAGCGAGGCGCAGCCUGCCCGGCAGAUUUCGGCUCCCUCUCCCUCGCCCGGCCGUGCCUGAGCCUCUCCUGCUCGCUGAGGCUCGCCUGAGCUUUUCCUCCUGCCCUUCUGCCUCCCUUUCUUCAGCCUCAGCCUCUUCCUCACCGGGUGUCCGGCUGGGUUUGCUCCCUGCCUGCCCUUGGCGCAGGGUUUGGUGUGCCCAGGGGCUGCGGGGGUCCUCGGGGGGGGCUCUGUGCGCCAUCCCCUUUGGCCACAGCACCCUCCACAAGCACUGCUUGCACCCACACCAACCCAAAACGCACACCAGGGCACCAAACCCAUCGCCACCCGGCACCACCAUGCCCAGGACUCUGAUGGAAACCCCUGUGUGGCUCCAGGGGGGGGCUGACCGUGGGGCAGAGCCCCCAUUCCUGAGCCCCCCCAGGCCCUGGGAUGGGGUCUCCCAGCAGGAACAGCCGGCCCAGAGCUCCCCAGCAGGCACAGCUCAGCAGCACGGCAGCGUUUUGCGCUCUGGGAACGAACCAGCAGCGUUUUGGGAAGCCUCUUGCCCACCUCCAGCCCGCUGA
RNAcentral lists this long non-coding RNA (1191 nucleotides) under Anas platyrhynchos platyrhynchos (common mallard). Its description in RNAcentral is "lncRNA (ENSAPLG00000020521.1)". The record is from RNAcentral. Lineage: Eukaryota; Metazoa; Chordata; Aves; Anseriformes; Anatidae.